This 702-nucleotide ribosomal RNA is filed under the name uncultured archaeon. RNAcentral's name for it is "bacterial SSU rRNA". It matches the Rfam family "Archaeal small subunit ribosomal RNA", at positions 206 to 912 of the family's 1478-position model. The record is from RNAcentral.
AGGAUGAGACUGCGUCCGAUUAGGUAGUUGGUGGGGUAACGGCCCACCAAGCCUGUCAUCGGUACGGGUUGUGGGAGCAAGAUCCCGGAGAUGGAUUCUGAGACAUGAAUCCAGGCCCUACGGGGCGCAGCAGGCGCGCAAACUUUACAAUGCGAGCAAUCGUGAUAAGGAAACCCUGAGUGCCUGUUGAUGCAGGCUGUUCAUUAGUUUAAAUUGCUAGUGAAGAAAGGGCAGGGCAAGACCGGUGCCAGCCGCCGCGGUAAUACCGGCUGCUCGAGUGAUGGCCACUAUUACUGGGUUUAAAGCGUCCGUAGCUUGAUUGUUAGGUCUCUUGGGAAAUCUUCAGGCUUAACCUUAAGGCAUCUAAGAGAUACCGGCAAUCUUGGGACUGGGAGAGGUAAACCGUACUUCGGGGGUAGGAGUGAAAUCUUGUAAUCCUCGAGGGACGACCUAUGGCGAAGGCAGUUUACCAGAACAGCUUCGACAGUGAGGGACGAAAGCUGGGGGAGCAAACGGGAUUAGAUACCCCGGUAGUCCCAGCCGUAAACAAUGUGCGUUAGGUGUAUCGGCAACCACGCGUUACUGAUGCGCCGCAGAGAAAUCGUGAAACGCACCACCUGGGAAGUAUGGUCGCAAGGCUGAAACUUAAAGGAAUUGGCGGGGGAGCACCACAACAGGUGGAGCCUGCGGUUUAAUUGGAUU